UCGGGAAUUUUGGGCAAUGGGCGAAAGCCUGACCCAGCAACGCCGCGUGAAGGAUGAAGUAUUUCGGUAUGUAAACUUCGAAAGGAUAGGAAGAAUAAAUGACGGUACUAUUUAUAAGGUCCGGCUAACUACGUGCCAGCAGCCGCGGUAAUACGUAGGGACCAAGCGUUGUUCGGAUUUACUGGGCGUAAAGGGCGCGUAGGCGGCAAUUCAAGUCAUCUGUGAAAUCUCCGGGCUUAACUCGGAACGGUCAGAUGAUACUGCUUUGCUAGAGUGCAGAAGGGGCAAUCGGAAUUCUUGGUGUAGCGGUGAAAUGCGUAGAUAUCAAGAGGAACACCUGAGGUGAAGACGGGUUGCUGGGCUGACACUGACGCUGAGGCGCGAAAGCCAGGGGAGCAAACGGGAUUAGAUACCCAAGUAGUCCCUGAGCGGGCUGGCAAGGCGCAU
RNAcentral lists this ribosomal RNA (447 nucleotides) under uncultured bacterium. RNAcentral's name for it is "bacterial SSU rRNA". It matches the Rfam family "Bacterial small subunit ribosomal RNA", at positions 355 to 825 of the family's 1533-position model. The record is from RNAcentral.